CACUAUGCCCAGCCCUAAACUUUGAUAGAUCAUUACACCCACUAUCCGCCAGGGUACUACGAGCAUUAGCUUAAAACCCAAAGGACUUGGCGGUGCUUUACAUCCACCUAGAGGAGCCUGUUCUAGAACCGAUAACCCCCGUUAAACCUCACCCUCCCUUGUUUUUUCCGCCUAUAUACCGCCGUCGUCAGCUUACCCUGUGAAGGUUUAAUAGUAAGCAGAAUUGGUAAAACCCAAAACGCCAGGUCGAGGUGUAGCGAAUGAGAGGGGAAGAAAUGGGCUACAUUUCCUAAACCAGGAAAUACGGACAAUGUACUGAAACGUACAUUAGAAGGAGGAUUUAGCAGUAAGCAGAAAAUAGAGCGUUCCGCUGAAACUGGCCCUGAAGCGCGCACACACCGCCCGUCACUCUCCCCGAGCUAACAUAGAUAUAUUCUUAAUAACCAACACCUGCAAAGGGGAGGCAAGUCGUAA
RNAcentral lists this ribosomal RNA (474 nucleotides) under Abudefduf vaigiensis (Indo-Pacific sergeant). Its description in RNAcentral is "partial small subunit ribosomal RNA". It matches the Rfam family "Bacterial small subunit ribosomal RNA", at positions 788 to 1491 of the family's 1533-position model. Lineage: Eukaryota; Metazoa; Chordata; Actinopteri; Pomacentridae. The record is from RNAcentral.